CAUGASCCCUGCCGAGCCGUGAGGCCGCGGGCCUAAAGACGGGUGCAGCAGUCGUUCGUCUCGUUGGACAAAAUGCCUCGCUUGACCGGAUGGAGUGCCUCCGAUGAGCCACCCACCCGCAGCACAUAACAUUCCGAAUCCGAGAGCACGGGCGAAGAGCCUCGUGCGCCGAGGCAGCCAUGCAGCUGGGCUAGGCGUGCCGGGGACACGAGGCUUGCCUGGCGUCCGACCCACCACCCGUGAGGGCAUGGGACGGAGAUAAACAAACGAGCCAUCGAAUU
RNAcentral lists this unclassified non-coding RNA (281 nucleotides) under Canarium lamianum. Its description in RNAcentral is "partial external transcribed spacer". Lineage: Eukaryota; Viridiplantae; Streptophyta; Magnoliopsida; Sapindales; Burseraceae. The record is from RNAcentral.